This 442-nucleotide ribosomal RNA is filed under the name uncultured bacterium. Its description in RNAcentral is "bacterial SSU rRNA". It matches the Rfam family "Bacterial small subunit ribosomal RNA", at positions 29 to 461 of the family's 1533-position model. The record is from RNAcentral.
AACGAACGCUGGCGGCAUGCUUAACACAUGCAAGUUGAGCGAGAACCGGAGGGCUUGCUCUUUGGGGACAGCAGCGCACGGGUGAGUAACGCGUGGAUAACGUGCCCUAGGGUUGGGAAUAACUCGCCGAAAGGUGAGCUAAUGCCGAAUGUGUUCCAAUAAGGUGCGCCUAUUUGGAAGAAAGCGGGGCAAACCCGCGCCCAAGGAUCGGUCCGCGUUCCAUCAGCUAGUUGGUGAGGUAAUGGCUCACCAAGGCUACGACGGAUAGCUGGUCUGAGAGGAUGAUCAGCCACACUGGGACUGAGAUACGGCCCAGACUCCUACGGGAGGCAGCAGUGGGGAAUAUUGGUCAAUGGCGAAAGCCUGAACCAGCAAUGCCGCGUGAGUGAUGAAGGCCUAGGGUUGUAAAGACUCUGUCAGUGGGAACGAAUAAGUCGGUUAA